CAAGAAGGGCUUCAGCUUGGGUAGCUUUUUGGCAAUAGAGUCACAAUAACUCUUAUGGUCUAUGACCAGCCCCGGUGGGUUAUAUCAAUGGGAAGUUGUGUAAAUGGAGGUGGAUACUAUCAUUAUUCCUACUCUGUUGUUCGAGGUUGUGACCGGAUUGUUCCAGUGGAUAUCUGUCCCUGGCUGCCCACCAACAGUUGAGGCCUUGCUUUAUGGACUUCUGCAGCUACAGAAGAAAAUUAACAAGCGCAAGGAUUUACUUCACUUAUGGACCAAGUGAGCACAUUCUGCUUAUAUUCCUUUAACAUGGCUACAUUUUGGCGAGAUACUAAUCAGUUUAGUAUAUGCCGGCUUGUUAUGGCCAAGGGUCAUUCAUGAUAUCUGAAGAAAGCCCCUUGAAAUUACUCUAAACUGUAAUGCCCAGUUGUGGUUUUUUAUUGUAUCUAAUGAGAGGUUUACAUGUUCUUUUAGUUUUCUCACUUCCAGAUUUUUAAAAAAAAUUGAAACUCUAUAUGUUAUUUUUCUUUCUGGCUGAAGUGAAGCUAUCCUUUGGUUUUGUAUCUGGGUUAAGGAUGAAGAGAACCUUUGAUUAAAAUUCAGUCUUCUAAUAAGAUUAUGAAACUUUGUAUGUUCAGUAGUAUAUUUUUAGGAUACAUUCGCUUGAUCUCCUGUAUUCAAUAGUUUUUUCCCCUUCCUUUUCAAGGACUUAAAUUUUUGAACUUUGGUAGUUUCACGAGAGUUUUAGAUUGACAACAGUAAUUUCAACUAUGGUCUGUAUCCUUAAGGUAUCUUCUACCUUUGUGCUAGUUAGUAAUCUCUCCUGAAUGUUCCUUUUGUUUUUUUAGGAGUUCUUUCGGAAUUUUUUUGUUUUGGUUUUCAGAUUGUUUUGUUUUGGUUUUCAGAUUUGUGAGGAGUUGUUUCAGAUUGUUAUUUGUCAUUUCUUUUAAGUUUGUUGUAUUUUUUGGUAAUUAUUGUAAGACUAUGAUGUUUAUUGAAUAUAUGAAUUUGAUGGAUAGUUUAUUGGAGUUA
Beta vulgaris subsp. vulgaris (sugar beet) is the source of this 1029-nucleotide long non-coding RNA. RefSeq lists it as uncharacterized. The transcript has 2 exons. The record is from RefSeq and is a predicted model, not a curated record. Lineage: Eukaryota; Viridiplantae; Streptophyta; Magnoliopsida; Caryophyllales; Amaranthaceae.